RNAcentral lists this ribosomal RNA (434 nucleotides) under uncultured bacterium. Its description in RNAcentral is "partial 16S ribosomal RNA". It matches the Rfam family "Bacterial small subunit ribosomal RNA", at positions 29 to 507 of the family's 1533-position model. The record is from RNAcentral.
AACGAACGCUGGCGGCAUGCCUAACACAUGCAAGUCGAACGAACCCUUCGGGGUUAGUGGCGCACGGGUGCGUAACACGUGGGAACGUGCCUUUAGGUUCGGAAUAACUCACGGAAACUUGUGCUAAUACCGAAUGUGCCCUUCGGGGGAAAGAUUUAUCGCCUUUGGAUGGGCCCGCGUCUGAUUAGCUAGUUGGUUGGGGUAAUGGCUCACCAAGGCGACGAUCAGUAGCUGGUCUGAGAGGAUGAUCAGCCACAUUGGGACUGAGACACGGCCCAAACUCCUACGGGAGGCAGCAGUGGGGAAUAUUGGGCAAUGGGCGAAAGCCUGAUGCAGCCAUGCCGCGUGAAUGAUGAAGGCCUUAGGAUUGUAAAACUCUUUCACCGGGGAUGAUAAUGACGGUACCCGGAGAAGAAGCCCCGGCUAACUUCGUG